This 200-nucleotide ribosomal RNA is filed under the name uncultured bacterium. Its description in RNAcentral is "partial 16S ribosomal RNA". It matches the Rfam family "Bacterial small subunit ribosomal RNA", at positions 336 to 527 of the family's 1533-position model. The record is from RNAcentral.
CUCCUACGGGAGGCAGCAGUGGGGAAUUUUGCGCAAUGGGCGAAAGCCUGACGCAGCAAUGCCGCGCGAGUGAUGAAGGCCUUCGGGUCGUAAAGCUCUGUCAGAGGGGAAGAACCUCCCGUCGGUUAAUAUCCGGCGGGCCUGACGGUACCCUCAAAGGAAGCACCGGCUAACUCCGUGCCAGCAGCCGCGGUAAUACA